This 1159-nucleotide long non-coding RNA is filed under the name Homo sapiens (human). RNAcentral's name for it is "HSALNT0102292". Lineage: Eukaryota; Metazoa; Chordata; Mammalia; Primates; Hominidae. The record is from RNAcentral.
AUUUUGAAACUGCUAACGCCUUGGCAAAGACUAUGAGUUAAGUAUUUGAAAACUUAAGGGAUUUAUUAAUUAGGUAUGAGUUUUUAGAUAUUUUUGACAUAGUUCAGUUCUCAGCACUUUAUGGUUGGUCAAGUAUCUCAAGUUCAUCUGCUUUACCAAAACGAUCUAGGAGUGAAGUCACCAUGGUUGUGAGAGACACCAAAGUGACAGCAUUUCUAGGCAGUAUCUGUCACCUUAGUGUUUUCACGCUUCUCGUGCUUUUAUUUAUAAGGUAAUGUCAUCAGAGAGUCUUUCUGCCACUCUCCAAGGAAACACUUGCAUUUUUGUGCACAGAUAAGGUGAAGUGGUGAGGUUGCGUUUUAGUUCAAGACAUACAGCUGGGAAAGGGCUGGGAUCCAUGAGCUGGUGCCUAUCAGUGGUAUAGCUGUAAUUGUGGCUGAGCGUGCUAAGCACUUAACUGGGAUCCAGGCACUGUUCACAGGACCUUGCAAAUACUCAUUCACUUAAACCCCAAGGUGCCCUCUGAGGAAGGUGCUAUUGCUAUGCCCAUACUACCAAUAAAAGUCUUUUUUUUAUGAAGUCGGAGACUAGAGUUCUGUUGAAUGUUGAAGGACAUUCCUUGAAAUGUCAGGGGAGCUAGGCAAAAUCACUCUGUCCAGAGGAAUUUAAAAAGUCAGCACAUAAUUAACCCCAGAGUAGACUAUAUCUAAACCACCCUGGAAGGCUUUCUAGAGCUCCCCAUUACCUGCCCAUGUCCUGGCUGGCCCAGGUAUUCAAUCACUUGCUCAGAAUCCUUCGUACCUGAGCCUCUGUCUUCCCUACUGGUGAUUCAAGCCCAUUUCCUGGGCUCUGCUGGCCACAGGAAUAGAAGGCAAAUGUGCAAAUGUUUUUUGUUUUUCUUGAUGGAAACUUGCCACCCUGUUAUCCAUUUCUCUUGUGUUUUGGAUAAUAUAAGUACUUACAUUUUGUUCGUUGAAUAUGCUGAUGGAAGUUUUCUUCCAGUCUAGAUACAUUCAACCCCCAAGUGUCAGAGGCAUGUUCUGUAUCUAAAUAUAGCACCUAAUCUCCAUUGUCAGAUUUGUCUCAUGAGGAAGAAUGCCUGUUGUCACUCCUUCUGGGGAAUAAUGCCAAGCAGCUGUUGGAGCAACGUUGUCCUUAA